GCAUCUACUUGUUUCCAAAGUUAUUUGGGUCAGCAUUUUCCUCCACCCACCACUUAAAACUGAUUUGUUUCAUACAUUUGAAAUGUAUGAAAAGCCAGAAAUCCAGGACCCACCCUGGCCUGCUCCCUUUUUCUCACCUACUGUGUUAAGGAUAAGUCAAUUGAGCUUCACUUCUCUAAUUGAAAUCACCGUGCUGAUGGAGUCUGUCUGUGGAAAUGAAAGGUGGCUACCAUAAUCUGUUGGGAGUUGAAUUAAUCCUCUGGGAGUGAGGCUGACCUAAUUACUCAGAAAUACUGGGCUUGCUUUCAUUCUGUGGAAUACAGCCAUGAGAAAGAGGCCAGCAUGCCAUUUCCUAAUCUUUUCUUGAAUUGCCUGAAACUCACCUAACAUGAAACUGAGAAGCCUUUUCAUUUGAAAGUGGUAUUUCUUAUGUUUUUUAUCUUUUUGCUUGAAAGUAUUCUUAAACUAAAGAAAGGAGAAACAGAAAAGGUGAAGAAGCCAAGAGGCUGGAGUUUCCUUUUGAAUGGAUAUUCAUCCAUGAAGCUGUUGAUUCUGUUUUUCUGUUCCUCCAGAUGUCUACACUUUUACCUCUGCUUGCCUGAUACAACCACCACCAGUCACCUCACAGAAUAACUCACUCCUUAAGAAUCUGAUCAGGAAUCAGCCUUCCCUGAUCACAAACACUGAGUUUAGAAGUCCCUCCACAGUGUCCCCCGUAACCCUGUGCUACCUCACUGCCUCAUAGUUUAGUGCCGUUUGUGUACAUGCCUAUCUUCGUCCAUGGAUCCAGAACAACUUGUAAAAAUGACUGUACUUAUCACCUUCAGUAUUCAAUGACUAAACUAUAAUUUUAACAUAUCUGGCAGAAUGAAUCACUUGGGGAUUUCUGCCAACACUACCAAUAUAUUACUCCUAAUUUGUAAUUAUUACUUAGCAUGGAUUAUAGUACCGGCUGUUGGAGAGCCAAUGUGGCAGACCCUAAGUGGAAUAAAAUGUCAGUAGCAGUCUAGGAGCAUAUAUUUAUUGGAAUAGAUCAUUCAUUCAUUUGUUCAUUAACUAAUUUGUUCAUUAAAUAAACAUUUAUUAAGCA
RNAcentral lists this long non-coding RNA (1090 nucleotides) under Homo sapiens (human). Its description in RNAcentral is "CCDC26 long non-coding RNA". Lineage: Eukaryota; Metazoa; Chordata; Mammalia; Primates; Hominidae. The record is from RNAcentral.